UACGAAGGUGGCAAGCGUUGUUCGGAUUUACUGGGCGUACAGGGCGCGUAGGCGGUUGGAUAAGCCCUCCGUGAAAUCUCCAGGCUUAACCUGGAAAGUGCAGAGGGGACUGUUCAGCUAGAGGAUGGGAGAGGAGCGCGGAAUUCCCGGUGUAGCGGUGAGAUGCGUAGAGAUCGGGAGGAAGGCCGGUGGCGAAGGCGGCGCUCUGGAACAUUUCUGACGCUGAGGCUCGAAAGCGUGGGGAGCAAACAGG
RNAcentral lists this ribosomal RNA (253 nucleotides) under uncultured bacterium. RNAcentral describes it as "partial 16S ribosomal RNA". It matches the Rfam family "Bacterial small subunit ribosomal RNA", at positions 524 to 776 of the family's 1533-position model. The record is from RNAcentral.